RNAcentral lists this ribosomal RNA (253 nucleotides) under uncultured bacterium. Its description in RNAcentral is "partial 16S ribosomal RNA". It matches the Rfam family "Bacterial small subunit ribosomal RNA", at positions 524 to 776 of the family's 1533-position model. The record is from RNAcentral.
UACGGGGGGGGCAAGCGUUAAUCGGAAUUACUGGGCGUAAAGCGUGCGUAGGCGGUUGGCUAAGUCAGAUGUGAAAGCCCUGGGCUCAACCUGGGAAUGGCAUUUGAAACUGGCGAGCUAGAGUGUGAUAGAGGAUGGCGGAAUUCCCGGUGUAGCGGUGAAAUGCGUAGAGAUCGGGAGGAACAUCCGUGGCGAAGGCGGCCAUCUGGAUCAACACUGACGCUGAGGCACGAAAGCGUGGGGAGCAAACAGG